GUGACUUUUGGUAAGUUUUUUAUCUCUCCCUUAGCUUCUGUGUCUUCAUCUAUAAAUUGAAGUCAAUCGAAUCUACUCCACAGGGCAAUUUUAAGAAUUAAAUAAAUAAUAGUAGAAGUUAAAGGAGAAGAAAAUGAGAUCUUUCCAAGCCUUCCUGAAAGAAAAUGAGAAAUACGUCAUUGGCUCUGAAAGCACAAAUGUGAUGAAGCUGAGACCAGGCCUUGCAAGGAAGGCUGAUUGACAGGAUGUGAAGCUGAUGCAGGGCCAUUUGUUGGGGUGAUACUGCAGAGCACCAGCUGGGUCUGUAGAUAGAGGCAAGUAAUGACAGUGCUGCCUCUCACCUCUCCCAUCAUCUUGUGCCUUCCUGUGUGCCUAAAGUCAAGAGGACUUUACUUGUGUUUGGGGCCUUCUCUGAUUAACACAAGGCAGUGGCAGGGAUGGGGGCAGCAGAAAAAGAAAGAAGCAUCUUGUGACCCAGGAAGACAGUGGCCUUGGCAUAUUUGUAUAUAAUUUAG
Molecule: long non-coding RNA, 515 nt
Filed under: Homo sapiens (human)
Lineage: Eukaryota; Metazoa; Chordata; Mammalia; Primates; Hominidae
Description: HSALNT0298407
Source: RNAcentral